Molecule: long non-coding RNA, 907 nt
Organism: Carassius auratus (goldfish)
Lineage: Eukaryota; Metazoa; Chordata; Actinopteri; Cypriniformes; Cyprinidae
Exons: 4
Source: RefSeq, a predicted model, not a curated record
CUCAAUUGAGUUCCAAUGGGGUCGCUGUGUCCAUUUCUUUUACUGUCUAUGCACAGCACUCGACAGCCAAUGAAAACUGGCAUGGACAAGUUGCUGAGUACAGCAGAGGAUGUGAGCAAGAUGCAGGAAGAGUUGGAGAUGAUGAGGCAUCAGCUGCAGGAAGCAGCCAAGGACACUGUGAUCACCAUGGAGAAAAUUUAAGAAGACACAGUGGAAGCUGAGGAGACCUGUGUAGCGGUGCAGGCUGAGGAGGCUAAAGCCAUUGAAAAGUCACAUGCCAUCGCUGAUGACGCUCAGAGAGAUCUGAAUGAAGCGCUUCCUGCCCUCGCUAGCCUAAAGUCGCUGAAAAAGAAUGAUGCCGUUGAGGAGCGUGAUAACACAUUAGCUGUGAUGAAGCUGAGUGACAGAGACUUUCUGCAUAGUUUCGAAAAUGCUAUCCACUUUGAAAAGUCCUGCUCGCUGGAGAAUGUUGGGGAGGAGCUAGACCCUGCUUUGGACCCUGUGCUCCUACGACAGGUACACAUCACUGUUUAGUGUGCAUAAAUCAUAAAAUAAGGCACAAAAAGUGCUACAGCCACCAAAUGACAUUCUGAACAUUCUGGCUUCAAGCAUGUUUUUUUUUAAAAAGUUUUUAGGCUGUGAGGUGGAUUCUGAAUUUCACGUGUUGGGUUUAUGUCCGUGUUCAAACAGUGGGCUAGAGGAUCAGCUACAAGGGUGUCUCGCUGCUGAAGAGAGACCCGGUCUGGAAAGGGCAAAGAUCUAACUCAUUGUGAGUAACGUACACAUAAAACAGGAGAUAAAAGAGAUUGAAGGUCAUAUCCUGAACUGAUAAGAAUGCUUGCGGCCUCCAAAGUCGAAGCCGAAGAAAUUCCGCUAUGUCUGAAGGAAAAACCUUUGUCUUCCUUUC